This is an RNA transcript of Prunus dulcis (almond), 1467 nucleotides long. It is a transcript of the gene named KIN17-like protein, with no coding region annotated. The transcript has 2 exons. The record is from RefSeq and is a predicted model, not a curated record. Lineage: Eukaryota; Viridiplantae; Streptophyta; Magnoliopsida; Rosales; Rosaceae.
AUUGUACCCUUAUUGCUAUUUCCCAAAAAUAAACCCCUCAUCAGGUCCAGCCCUUCCGUCAUCUAGGGUUUAGAUUGCCAAUUCCCCAAUCAAAACACCACCCCAAUCCUGAUUCAAAUUACACCAAUAUUUCUGUAAUUCGGCGGUAAAAUCAUCAUGGGGAAGAACGACUUCCUAACCCCAAAGGCAAUUGCCAAUCGGAUCAAGGCCAAGGGACUUCAGAAGCUUCGAUGGUACUGCCAGAUGUGCCAGAAGCAAUGUCGAGACGAAAACGGCUUCAAAUGCCACUGCAUGAGCGAAAGCCACCAGCGACAGAUGCAGAUCUUCGGCGAAAACUCUAAUCGCAUAGUCGAUGGCUACUCCGAGGAGUUCGAGCAAAGUUUUCUCGAUUUGAUGAAACGAAGCCACCGGUUCAGCCGUAUCGCCGCCACCGUGGUCUACAACGAGUACAUCAACGACCGCCACCAUGUUCAUAUGAAUUCGACUGAGUGGGCCACGAUAACCGAGUUCGUGAAGCACUUGGGGAGGACGGGUAAGUGUAAGGUUGAGGAGACGCCAAAGGGUUGGUUCAUUACUUAUAUCGAUAGAGAUUCGGAAACCCUUUUCAAGGAGAGGUUGAAGAACUUUGUAUUUUAACUUUGUAUAUUAUAUGGAAAUUCACACUGCAUAUAGCAUCUGAAUAUGCAGAUUCAUUCAUCAUUGCGGACAUUGUUUAGAGCUGAACACAUGUGGGAGCUCUCCCACUUUUGGGCACUGAUGCAUGAAGCAAUGGAUUAUUUUUUUCCUUCAGGAAAUUUUACUACCAUUUAAGAGUUGGUUGUGGGGUUGAGUCUUCACCCAGUUGAUGUCUGAAAGUAGGUGCUUGGUAAUGGAAAAGUUGAAAAGCAUAUUAAUGUGGGAUGAGAUACUAGGUACAGCAAUAGAGGUGUUAGGAUAGUUGUGUUGUGUCCUCGUCCAACUGCUGCCUCUCAAGAUUGAUUUUGCAAAGUUGGUAUGAAAAAUUCUUUAUGUCAAAUCAUACCUGCCUAUUAUGUAUGCCCUGGUUCUUUUGACACCAGUCUAGAGCCUCUGUGAAUGGUUUUCUGUUUGUGGAAACCAACGGUUCUCAUUGCACAUGUAUUCCAUGGUUAUGUUUCCAAUAUUUUUAUGCACUGUUACACGGUUCUUUUUGCAAUACAUAUUUUCUGUGGAUGAACAAGUUGGGGAUUGGCACUUGUACAUCCUUUUCCAUUAUUAUGUAUUAGGGUUGAGAGAAAUAGCUGUAUUUACAAUGGAAAGAUGCACAAAGAGGCUAGUAGCUAUGAGUUAUUAAGUUGCUAAAGUAAGGGCGUGUGCUCAUGUUCGUUCUGCUGCCGAUUGAAGCCUCUUGGAGAGUUGCAUCUCAAUACCUUCAUCAUGCUUCAUGUAUUAGAAAAAUUAUAGGUUCAAUUGUCAUUGUAAUCAGAGUAAAAGCAAUUUGAUAGCGUG